RNAcentral lists this ribosomal RNA (791 nucleotides) under Nocardia wallacei. Its description in RNAcentral is "bacterial SSU rRNA". It matches the Rfam family "Bacterial small subunit ribosomal RNA", at positions 56 to 863 of the family's 1533-position model. Lineage: Bacteria; Bacillati; Actinomycetota; Actinomycetes; Mycobacteriales; Nocardiaceae. The record is from RNAcentral.
UGCAGUCGAGCGGUAAGGCCCUUCGGGGUACACGAGCGGCGAACGGGUGAGUAACACGUGGGUGAUCUGCCUCGUACUCUGGGAUAAGCCUGGGAAACUGGGUCUAAUACCGGAUAUGACCACGAGUCGCAUGGUUUGUGGUGGAAAGAUUUAUCGGUGCGAGAUGGGCCCGCGGCCUAUCAGCUUGUUGGUGGGGUAAUGGCCUACCAAGGCGACGACGGGUAGCCGGCCUGAGAGGGCGACCGGCCACACUGGGACUGAGACACGGCCCAGACUCCUACGGGAGGCAGCAGUGGGGAAUAUUGCACAAUGGGCGGAAGCCUGAUGCAGCGACGCCGCGUGCGGGAUGACGGCCUUCGGGUUGUAAACCGCUUUCGACAGGGACGAAGCGUGAGUGACGGUACCUGUAGAAGAAGCACCGGCCAACUACGUGCCAGCAGCCGCGGUAAUACGUAGGGUGCGAGCGUUGUCCGGAAUUACUGGGCGUAAAGAGCUUGUAGGCGGUUUGUCGCGUCGUUCGUGAAAACUUGGGGCUCAACCCCAAGCUUGCGGGCGAUACGGGCAGACUAGAGUACUGCAGGGGAGACUGGAAUUCCUGGUGUAGCGGUGAAAUGCGCAGAUAUCAGGAGGAACACCGGUGGCGAAGGCGGGUCUCUGGGCAGUAACUGACGCUGAGAAGCGAAAGCGUGGGUAGCGAACAGGAUUAGAUACCCUGGUAGUCCACGCCGUAAACGGUGGGUACUAGGUGUGGGUUUCCUUCCACGGGAUCCGUGCCGUAGCUAACGCAUUAA